GAUGAACGCUGGCGGCGUGCCUAAUACAUGCAAGUCGAGCGAACAGAUGAGGAGCUUGCUCCUCUGACGUUAGCGGCGGACGGGUGAGUAACACGUGGGUAACCUACCUAUAAGACUGGGAUAACUUCGGGAAACCGGAGCUAAUACCGGAUAAUAUAUUGAACCGCAUGGUUCAAUAGUGAAAGACGGUUUUGCUAUCACUUAUAGAUGGAUCCGCGCCGCAUUAGCUAGUUGGUAAGGUAACGGCUUACCAAGGCAACGAUGCGUAGCCGACCUGAGAGGGUGAUCGGCCACACUGGAACUGAGACACGGUCCAGACUCCUACGGGAGGCAGCAGUAGGGAAUCUUCCGCAAUGGGCGAAAGCCUGACGGAGCAACGCCGCGUGAGUGAUGAAGGUCUUCGGAUCGUAAAACUCUGUUAUUAGGGAAGAACAAAUGUGUAAGUAACUAUGCACGUCUUGACGGUACCUAAUCAGAAAGCCACGGCUAACUACGUG
This 497-nucleotide ribosomal RNA is filed under the name uncultured bacterium. RNAcentral's name for it is "partial 16S ribosomal RNA". It matches the Rfam family "Bacterial small subunit ribosomal RNA", at positions 28 to 507 of the family's 1533-position model. The record is from RNAcentral.